Molecule: ribosomal RNA, 429 nt
Filed under: Pseudomonadota bacterium
Lineage: Bacteria; Pseudomonadati; Pseudomonadota
Description: Proteobacteria bacterium partial 16S ribosomal RNA
Rfam family: Bacterial small subunit ribosomal RNA
Source: RNAcentral
UGGGGAAUAUUGGACAAUGGGCGAAAGCCUGAUCCAGCCAUGCCGCGUGUGUGAAGAAGGUCUUCGGAUUGUAAAGCACUUUAAGUUGGGAGGAAGGGCAGUAAGCGAAUACCUUGCUGUUUUGACGUUAUCGACAGAAUAAGCACCGGCUAACUCUGUGCCAGCAGCCGCGGUAAUACAGAGGGUGCAAGCGUUAAUCGGAAUUACUGGGCGUAAAGCGCGCGUAGGUGGUUCGUUAAGUUGAAUGUGAAAGCCCCGGGCUCAACCUGGGAACUGCAUCCAAAACUGGCGAGCUAGAGUAGGGCAGAGGGUGGUGGAAUUUCCUGUGUAGCGGAGAAAUGCGUAGAUAUAGGAAGGAACACCAGUGGCGAAGGCGACCACCUGGGCUCAUACUGACACUGAGGUGCGAAAGCGUGGGGAGCAAACAGG